GUAACAGGAAGUGCUUGCACUUCGCUGACGACCGGCGCACGGGUGAGUAUCGCGUAUACAAUCUGCCUCAUACUAGGGAAUAGCCCGAAGAAAUUUGGAUUAAUGCCCUAUAGUAUCUUUUUAAGGCAUCUUAUUAAGAUUAAAGGUUACGGUAUGAGAUGAGUAUGCGUUCUAUUAGCUAGUAGGUGUGGUAACGGCACACCUAGGCUACGAUAGAUAGGGGCCCUGAGAGGGGGAUCCCCCACACUGGUACUGAGACAGGACCAGACUCCUACGGGAGGCAGCAGUAAGGAAUAUUGGACAAUGGGCGAAAGCCUGAUCCAGCCAUGCCGCGUGCAGGAUGACUGCCCUAUGGGUUGUAAACUGCUUUUAUAUAGGAAGAAAAAUUUUCUCGUGAGAAAACUUGACGGUACUAUAAGAAUAAGGAUCG
Molecule: ribosomal RNA, 430 nt
Filed under: uncultured Bacteroidota bacterium
Lineage: Bacteria; Pseudomonadati; Bacteroidota
Description: bacterial SSU rRNA
Rfam family: Bacterial small subunit ribosomal RNA
Source: RNAcentral